GAUGAACGCUGGCGGCGUGCUUAACACAUGCAAGUCGAGCGAAGCACUUGUUUGGAAUCCUUCGGGAGGAAGAACAAUUGACUGAGCGGCGGACGGGUGAGUAACGCGUGGGGAACCUGCCUUAUACCGGGGGAUAACAGCUGGAAACGGCUGCUAAUACCGCAUAAGCGCACGGCACCGCAUGGUGCAGUGUGAAAAACUCCGGUGGUAUAAGAUGGACCCGCGUUAGAUUAGCUUGUUGGCGGGGUAACGGCCCACCAAGGCGACGAUCUAUAGCCGGCCUGAGAGGGCGACCGGCCACAUUGGGACUGAGACACGGCCCAA
This 324-nucleotide ribosomal RNA is filed under the name uncultured bacterium. RNAcentral's name for it is "bacterial SSU rRNA". It matches the Rfam family "Bacterial small subunit ribosomal RNA", at positions 28 to 334 of the family's 1533-position model. The record is from RNAcentral.